AUGGCGACUCGCCUUGCCCCCCACAUGUCAGCGCUCGUCUCCAACACGCAAAGUGCAUUUAUCAAGAAGAGGACCAUCCAUGAUAACUUUAUGUACGUUCGCAACUUGGCACACCGUCUCCACCGAAACAAAUCUCCAACCUUGCUCUUCAAGUUAGAUAUCAAAAAAGUGUUUGACUCGGUCAGAUGGGACUACUUGAUGGACUUGCUGAGACACCAUCACUUUCCAAGCUGA
This 234-nucleotide ribosomal RNA is filed under the name Triticum aestivum (bread wheat). RNAcentral describes it as "partial small subunit ribosomal RNA". Lineage: Eukaryota; Viridiplantae; Streptophyta; Magnoliopsida; Poales; Poaceae. The record is from RNAcentral.